Molecule: microRNA precursor, 93 nt
Filed under: Zalophus californianus (California sea lion)
Lineage: Eukaryota; Metazoa; Chordata; Mammalia; Carnivora; Otariidae
Description: miRNA (ENSZCAG00015000682.1)
Rfam family: mir-124 microRNA precursor family (bases 16-86)
About the family: The mature ~21nt miRNAs are processed from hairpin precursor sequences represented here, in this case originating from the 3' arm.
Source: RNAcentral
AUCAAGAUCAGACUCUGCCCUCCGUGUUCACAGCGGACCUUGAUUUAAUGUCAUACAAUUAAGGCACGCGGUGAAUGCCAAGAGCGGAGCCUA